This 253-nucleotide ribosomal RNA is filed under the name uncultured bacterium. Its description in RNAcentral is "partial 16S ribosomal RNA". It matches the Rfam family "Bacterial small subunit ribosomal RNA", at positions 524 to 776 of the family's 1533-position model. The record is from RNAcentral.
UACGGAGGGUGCGAGCGUUAAUCGGAAUUACUGGGCGUAAAGGGCACGCAGGCGGGUUUUUAAGUGAGAUGUGAAAUCCCCGGGCUUAACCUGGGAAUAGCAUUUGAUACUGGGAGGCUAGAGUCCGGUAGGGGGGGGUAGAAUUCCACGUGUAGCGGUGAAAUGCGUAGAGAUCUGGAGGAAUACCGAUGGCGAAGGCAGCCCCCUGGGCAUAGACUGACGCUCAUGUGCGAAAGCGUGGGGAGCAAACAGG